ACAAAAAAAAAAAAAAACCAAAAAAAACGGUUGUUAAUUUGUCGGCUAAAACGAAGAAACGGUCCGUUUGUCUUCCCUCGGCUAGAAAACCCGUUUUUUUUUUUCUUUUUUUUUUUUUCCUUG
This 123-nucleotide non-coding RNA is filed under the name Lotharella globosa. Lineage: Eukaryota; Cercozoa; Chlorarachniophyceae. The record is from RNAcentral.